Molecule: microRNA, 21 nt
Filed under: Rosa chinensis
Lineage: Eukaryota; Viridiplantae; Streptophyta; Magnoliopsida; Rosales; Rosaceae
Description: sRNA RchiOBHm_Chr5g0032375
Source: RNAcentral
GGUUGGAGAUGAACAUACAGC